RNAcentral lists this transfer RNA (72 nucleotides) under Candidatus Veblenbacteria bacterium. RNAcentral's name for it is "tRNA-Arg". It matches the Rfam family "tRNA". From Rfam's summary of the family: Transfer RNA (tRNA) molecules are approximately 80 nucleotides in length. Lineage: Bacteria; Candidatus Vebleniibacteriota. The record is from RNAcentral.
GCGCCCGUAGUUCAAUGGAUAGAGCACGGGCCUCCGGAGCCCGGGAUACAGGUUCGAUUCCUGUCGGGCGCA